Molecule: ribosomal RNA, 815 nt
Filed under: uncultured bacterium
Lineage: Bacteria
Description: bacterial SSU rRNA
Rfam family: Bacterial small subunit ribosomal RNA
Source: RNAcentral
AACGCUGGCGGCGUGCUUAACACAUGCAAGUCGAACGGAACUUAUCGAAGCUUGCUUUGAGAAAGUUUAGUGGCGGACUGGUGAGUAACGCGUGAGCAAUCUGCCUUUAAGAGAGGGAUAACAUACUGAAAAGCGUGCUAAUACCUCAUAAAGUAUAAGUGUGGCAUCGCAUAUAUACCAAAGGAGCAAUCCGCUUAAAGAUGAGCUCGCGUCUGAUUAGGUAGUUGGUGAGGUAACGGCCCACCAAGCCGACGAUCAGUAGCCGGACUGAGAGGUUGAACGGCCACAUUGGGACUGAGAUACGGCCCAGACUCCUACGGGAGGCAGCAGUGGGGGAUAUUGCACAAUGGAGGAAACUCUGAUGCAGCAACGCCGCGUGAAGGAUGAAGGCCUUCGGGUUGUAAACUUCUGUCCUUGGUGACGAAGAUAGUGACGGUAGCCGAGGAGGAAGCCACGGCUAACUACGUGCCAGCAGCCGCGGUAAUACGUAGGUGGCAAGCGUUGUCCGGAAUUACUGGGUGUAAAGGGUGCGUAGGCGGCUUGUAAAGUCAGAUGUGAAAUCCUGUGGCUUAACCACAGAACUGCAUUUGAAACUUACGAGCUUGAGUGAAGUAGAGGUAAGCGGAAUUCCUAGUGUAGCGGUGAAAUGCGUAGAUAUUAGGAGGAACACCAGUGGCGAAGGCGGCUUACUGGGCUUUAACUGACGCUGAGGCACGAAAGCAUGGGGAGCAAACAGGAUUAGAUACCCUGGUAGUCCAUGCUGUAAACGAUGGAUACUAGGUGUGAGGGGUACUGACCCCCCCUCGUGCCGCAGG